Molecule: ribosomal RNA, 253 nt
Filed under: uncultured bacterium
Lineage: Bacteria
Description: partial 16S ribosomal RNA
Rfam family: Bacterial small subunit ribosomal RNA
Source: RNAcentral
UACGUAGGCAGCAAGCGUUGUUCGGAAUUACUGGGCGUAAAGAGUGUGUAGGCGGUGCUCUAAGUUCGGUGUGAAAUCUCCCGGCUUAACUGGGAGGGUGCGCCGGAAACUGGAGUGCUUGAGCGCGGGAGAGGAAAGCGGAAUUCCUGGUGUAGCGGUGAAAUGCGUAGAUAUCAGGAGGAACACCUGUGGUGUAGACGGCUUUCUGGACCGUAGCUGACGCUGAGACACGGAAGCAUGGGUAGCAAACAGG